RNAcentral lists this transfer RNA (88 nucleotides) under Limnohabitans sp. TS-CS-82. RNAcentral describes it as "tRNA-Ser". The record is from RNAcentral. Lineage: Bacteria; Pseudomonadati; Pseudomonadota; Betaproteobacteria; Burkholderiales; Comamonadaceae.
AGAGUUUUUCCUUUGGUACGUACUCCCCUGCUAAGGGAGUAUGGGGUGUAGAGCCUCAUCGAGGGUUCGAAUCCCUCCGUUUCCGCCA